Molecule: long non-coding RNA, 716 nt
Organism: Trachemys scripta elegans
Lineage: Eukaryota; Metazoa; Chordata; Testudines; Emydidae
Exons: 3
Source: RefSeq, a predicted model, not a curated record
UGCUGCUGGCAGACUAAAGGGAAGCGCAGCCCCAUGGACAGCUCAGUGCUAGUCUGGACUUGGGGAGCAAGGAAGAACUCCUGGCUGGUUGCUGGGCCUGAACAUAAAAGAGUCCCGAGGGAAACUCUAGUGACUUGACUGGAGGGCCAAGCCACGCAGAGGGAGCAUCCUGAGUCCAAGAGAGCACUGCAAAUCCUGGAGUGAGAGGGGACUCAGCGUGAAUGACGGAUGGAAGAGGGUGUCACAGCAGGUGAAGCUAUUCCCCAGACACCACCACAAAGAGGCAGGAACGAAUCCCAUCUUAUUAGCGAGAUGAGGUCUCCUCUCCUGGCACUCUGUCAUCGCACUGAGCAAUUACGUUUCUCGUUGCUUCGGAAGAGGCGUUUAGAGGACAGCACCAUUGGCGUUGCUCCUGGGGAAGAUGGGCUGCCUGGCAGCUCCGUGUUUCCCACUCUGAAGUUGGAGUGGGUGCUGGGGAAUGAGGAGAUGUGAUGACCCCGGGGGAAGUGGGUGACAAGAGUCAUCCGAGGCAGAAAGCACUGGGUAUAUAGGGAGUUAAGUGAUAGGGAUGGGGUGAGGAGGAAAACACAACUGUUAUCAACCUCUCACUGAUUUUAUACCCCUUUCCUUCUGCUUCCAAAUAAAAGGGUCUUCUAAGGCAAUCCCCAUCACUUCCAACCAUCCCUGAGUUGGUCCAUUCAUCUCUAUCCAGCGGA